AGCGCAGACGGCGAAGCAAGUCUGAAGUGAAAUGCAUGGGCUCAACCCAUGAAUUGCUUUGGAAACUGUUUGGCUUGGGUGUCGGAGGGGUAAGCGGAAUUCCUAGUGUAGCGGUGAAAUGCGUAGAUAUUAGGAGGAACACCGGAGGCGAAGGCGGCUUACUGGACGACAACUGACGUUGAGGCUCGAAAGCGUGGGGAGCAAACA
RNAcentral lists this ribosomal RNA (207 nucleotides) under uncultured bacterium. RNAcentral's name for it is "partial 16S ribosomal RNA". It matches the Rfam family "Bacterial small subunit ribosomal RNA", at positions 568 to 774 of the family's 1533-position model. The record is from RNAcentral.